RNAcentral lists this ribosomal RNA (466 nucleotides) under uncultured bacterium. RNAcentral's name for it is "partial 16S ribosomal RNA". It matches the Rfam family "Bacterial small subunit ribosomal RNA", at positions 28 to 507 of the family's 1533-position model. The record is from RNAcentral.
GAUGAACGCUGGCGGCGUGCUUAACACAUGCAAGUCGAACGAUGAAGCCCAGCUUGCUGGGUGGAUUAGUGGCGAACGGGUGAGUAACACGUGAGUAACCUGCCCUUAACUCUGGGAUAAGCCUGGGAAACUGGGUCUAAUACCGGAUAGGAGCGUCCACCGCAUGGUGGGUGUUGGAAAGAUUUAUCGGUUUUGGAUGGACUCGCGGCCUAUCAGCUUGUUGGUGGGGUAUUGGCUCACCAAGGCGACGACGGGUAGCCGGCCUGAGAGGGUGACCGGCCACACUGGGACUGAGACACGGCCCAGACUCCUACGGGAGGCAGCAGUGGGGAAUAUUGCACAAUGGGCGCAAGCCUGAUGCAGCGACGCCGCGUGAGGGAUGACGGCCUUCGGGUUGUAAACCGCUUUCAGUAGGGAAGAAGCGAAAGUGACGGUACCUGCAGAAGAAGCACCGGCUAACUACGUG